This 329-nucleotide unclassified non-coding RNA is filed under the name Anaerovibrio lipolyticus DSM 3074. RNAcentral's name for it is "Long range pseudoknot". Lineage: Bacteria; Bacillati; Bacillota; Negativicutes; Selenomonadales; Selenomonadaceae. The record is from RNAcentral.
ACAGCAUGAUUUUGACGUCAAGUUGAAGAAUGCUACGCGUUUCCUGGCAGAUGGCGACAAGGUUAAGGUAACUAUUAUGUUCCGUGGCCGUGAAAUGUCCCACCCAGAGCUUGGUAAGGAUAUCCUUAGCAAGUUUGCAGAUGCGCUGAAGGAUUCAGUAACCGUAGAACGGGAUGCUAAGCUUGAAGGUAGAAAUAUGAUUAUGAUUUUAGCCCCUAAGGCUCAAACUAAAGGAGGAAAACAGUAAUGCAGAAGAUGAAAACUCGUAGAGCAGCUGCAAAGCGCUUUACUGUAACUGGUACUGGCGAAAUUAGAAGAAACAAGGCUUA